RNAcentral lists this ribosomal RNA (395 nucleotides) under uncultured bacterium. RNAcentral's name for it is "bacterial SSU rRNA". It matches the Rfam family "Bacterial small subunit ribosomal RNA", at positions 505 to 898 of the family's 1533-position model. The record is from RNAcentral.
GUGUCAGCCGCCGCGGUAAUACGUAGGUGGCGAGCGUUGUCCGGAAUUAUUGGGCGUAAAGGGCGCGUAGGCGGUCUUUUAAGUCAGAUGUGAAACCCCGGGGCUUAACUCCGGAAUGGCAUUUGAAACUGGGAGACUAGAGUGCAGGAGAGGAAAGUGGAAUUCCUAGUGUAGCGGUGAAAUGCGUAGAUAUUAGGAGGAACACCAGUGGCGAAGGCGACUUUCUGGACUGUAACUGACGCUGAGGCGCGAAAGCGUGGGGAGCAAACAGGAUUAGAUACCCUGGUAGUCCACGCUGUAAACGAUGGAUACUAGGUGUGGGAGGUAUCGACCCCUUCCGUGCCGCAGUAAACGCAAUAAGUAUCCCGCCUGGGGAGUACGGCCGCAAGGUUGAA